UCUUGAGGAUGGGUUCGAGCCCCUUCUCUCUAG
This 33-nucleotide transfer RNA is filed under the name Coregonus albula (vendace). RNAcentral describes it as "partial tRNA-Gln". The record is from RNAcentral. Lineage: Eukaryota; Metazoa; Chordata; Actinopteri; Salmoniformes; Salmonidae.